AUUGAACGCUGGCGGCAGGCCUAACACAUGCAAGUCGAGCGAGCGGCGGACGGGUGAGUAAUGUAUGGGGACUGCCCGAUCGAGGGGGAUAAACACUGGAAACGGUGGAUAAUACCGCCUCUUGUCGGAUAAUCCAUAUGGGAUUAGCUAGUAGGUAAGGUAAUGGAUUACCUAGGCGACGAUCCCUCGCUGGUCUGAGAGGAUGAUCCGCCACACGGGGACGGAGACACGGCCCAGAAUCCUACGGAGGCAGCAGGGGGGAAUAUUGCACAAUGGGCGCAAGCCUGAUGCAGCCAUGCCGCGUGUGUGAAGAAGGCCCUAGGGUUGUAAAGUACUUUCAGUCGGGAGGCGUUACCGACAGAAGAAGCACCGGCUAACUCCGUGCCAGCAGCCGCGGUAAUUC
Molecule: ribosomal RNA, 403 nt
Filed under: uncultured bacterium
Lineage: Bacteria
Description: partial 16S ribosomal RNA
Rfam family: Bacterial small subunit ribosomal RNA
Source: RNAcentral